AACAUAGCCAGAGGAAGAUAUUUUUGGUUUAACCUGCCCAAUGUAUUAUUGUAUGAAUGGCCGCGGUACCCUGACCGUGCUAAGGUAGCGUAAUCAGUUGGCUUUUAAAUGGAGUCAGGUAUGAAUGGGAUAACCGGGCUUAGCUGUCUCAAAGACAUUUAUUUGAAUUUACUGUUCAAGUGAAAAAGCUUGACGUAAGAAAAGGGACGAGAAGACCCUUAGAAUUUUGUUUAAAGAGGAUUAUCUCCUCUAUGAUUUUGUUGGGGCGACAGAGAAAUAAUUAAAACUUUCUUUAAAUUAAUCAGUCGGAAUUUUCAGGUUAGGAUAAAUUACCUGAGGGAUAACAGCAUAAUUUUAUAAAUAAGUUUGUGACCUCGAUGUUGGACUAGGAAGCUAAUGGGUUAGCUGCUCAUUGUGCGGAUUCUGUUCGAAUUUUAACUCCUACGUGAUC
Molecule: ribosomal RNA, 451 nt
Filed under: Eubranchus sp. n. LLC-2017
Lineage: Eukaryota; Metazoa; Mollusca; Gastropoda; Nudibranchia; Eubranchidae
Description: partial 16S ribosomal RNA
Rfam family: Bacterial large subunit ribosomal RNA
Source: RNAcentral